CAGCACCUCAAGUGGUCAGGAUGAUUAUUGGGCCUAAAGCAUCCGUAGCCGGCUCUGUAAGUUUUCGGUUAAAUCUGUACGCUCAACGUACAGGCUGCCGGGAAUACUGCAGAGCUAGGGAGUGGGAGAGGUAGAUGGUACUCGGUAGGAAGGGGUAAAAUCCUUUGAUCUAUUGAUGACCACCUGUGGCGAAGGCGGUCUACCAGAACACGUCCGACGGUGAGGGAUGAAAGCUGGGGGAGCAAACCGGAUUAGAUACCCGAGUAGUCC
Molecule: ribosomal RNA, 270 nt
Filed under: uncultured archaeon
Lineage: Archaea
Description: partial 16S ribosomal RNA
Rfam family: Archaeal small subunit ribosomal RNA
Source: RNAcentral